UCUAAGUUUUCAUAAAAAUAAACAAGGUAAGAGUGUUAUCACUUACCCCAAUCUCUCUACAUAAAUUUCAAGUGUCUCACAUCGAAGAGGACGACUGAUAAAUUUUAUUAGCAAUGGAUCCCUUUCUAAUUGCUGUUACAUUAGCUACCUCCUUUUUUCUAAUUUUCUUUCUUCAGAAACAAUUUUACUCAGUUAAAAAGCAGAGUAGUAGUAGAAAGGUACCUGGAGCUGGCGGAGCAUGGCCUAUUAUCGGCCAUCUCCACCUUCUCGCUGGAUCUGAAUCUGAUCACUUGCCUCACAAAACGUUGAGCCGCAUGGCAGAUAAGUACGGGCCGAUAUUCGGAAUGAAGCUUGGAGUUCAUCAGGUUGUAGUUGUGAGCGAUCCCAAAUUAGUCAAAGAAUGCUUCACAACUAACGAUUUAGCCCUAGCCAACCGGCCUAAAUCCAUGGUUUCAGAGAUUAUAGGCUACAAAGACGCUAUGUUUGGACUUUGUUCUUACGGUCCUUACUGGAGAGAAACAAGGAAAAUUGCCACAAUUGAACUUUUCUCAGCUCGGCGAAUCGAGAUGCUCAAACACAUCAGAGAAUUUGAGGUAAAAUCAUCUGUUAAAGAGAUUUAUAAUAAUUGGGGGAAGAAUAAUUUAAAUGGUUUUGUGAAGAUGGAGAUGAAGGAAUGGAUUGGAGAUUUAGUUAUGAACACUAUGGGGAAAAUAUUAUUCGGAAAAGGGCGAAGGAGUAAUGAGGACGAAGGAAUAAAUAAGGCUCACAAAGCAAUUCGAAGAUUUUUCGAAUUGUUAGGAGCUUUUGUUGUGGCUGAUUUUUUACCUUACUUAAGAUGGCUGGACAUUGGAGGCCAUGAGAAAGCGAUGAAGGAGGUUUCUAAAGAAUUGGACUCUGUUGUUGCAGAAUGGUUAACAGAGCACAAAACAAAGAGAGGAAUUAUUAAAUCUGGUGAAGAAGAAGAUUUCAUGGAUGUCAUGCUUUCCAUUUGUGAAGACAGAGAUCUGCUUGGAUUCGAUGCCGAUACCGCUAUCAAAGCUACAUGUAUGGUACGUUAAUUAUUCCAAAAUUGUUUCUAUCUUGAUCUCGUAUAUGAAUUUGAUUGCUGAAUUUGUCUUGUUUAGGCUCUGCUAUCGGCAGGUACAGACACGACGAUUGUAACUCUAACGUGGACUUUAUCUCUACUACUCAAUAACUAUCAAUCACUUCAAAAGGCUCAAGAUGAGCUAGACGCUCAUGUUGGCAAGAACAGAUGGGUCCAAGAAUCGGAUAUAAAAAGCUUAGUUUAUCUUCAAGCUAUUGUUAAAGAAGCAUUACGUUUAUAUCCAGCUGCACCACUCUCAGUACCACACGAGUCGAUGGAGGAUUGUACUAUCAGUGGGUAUGAUAUACCAAAAGGCACUCGCUUACUAGUGAACUUAUGGAAGAUUCAGCACGAUCCUAAUAUAUGGCCAAAUCCUCUCGAGUUUAAGCCAGAGAGGUUCUUGUCGACCCAUAAGGAUGUGGAUGUAAAGGGCAAUCACUUUGAGUUAAUGCCAUUUGGUAGUGGAAGAAGAAUGUGCCCUGGAAUUUCGUUAGCCCUUCAAGUUUUGCCCUUUGUAAUUGCAAAAUUGCUGCAGGGUUUUAACAUGAAGAGGCCUUCAGAUGAACCAAUUGAUAUGAGUGAGAGCUUUGGAUUGACCGUACUCAAAGCUUCUCCACUCGAAGUUCUCCUUGCUCCGCGCUUGGCUCCCGAUCUUUAUGAAUGAAAUGAUAGACAAAACUUGUGCCUCAUGCCACUGUUGUUUACUACAAGUUUGUAAUAUUGUAAUGCAGAUAAUAACAGAACUUAAAAAUUCCUUCAUUUGAAAUGCGAUUGUAAAAGUAUUUUACAAGUCCAUCAAGUUUUGGUGGUGAAUAAUAAUAAGAUUGCUCAACUGCCACAGGCCUUGGCAUUAGAACUCUUGUGCUACAACUACUCCCUUUUGUGCUUGGGCAAUUAUUGGCAAGAUAUCAAAAAGAGAGUCGUAGUUGAUUUACUCGAUAUCAAAUGUUGCUCAAAAUAUAAAUGAGAAAUUAGUUCGAGAACUUGAUCAUAAACUUUAGUGUACAUAGUAAUUUGAAUCUACAAUUUUAUGUUAAAAUAUAUGAUCAACGCAUUUAAUAAUUUAACAUACUAUUAAAGAGAUUGAACAUGUUUUUAUUUUUUUUAGUUACGUCUAACCUAGUGAGCAAAAUAUUAUGUACCUAGUUGUUGAGGCCACAGUAUUCAACUCUCGUACAUACAUGUUAGGCAUGUGUAUGUAUAUAUUCACUUAAAAUUUGUCUUCAUUAUAAUGAUUUCUUAAUUUGUACCUUGUGAGAAUCUUUUAGGGUUGGUAGUGAUGAUACCACAUGGGCAAAAAUUCAUCGUACCUCUCAAAAAGGCCAGGUUGUACUAGUGAGUUGGACAACAUGUGAUAUCUAACGAGGAAAUCAUGAAUAUGAUUUUCCACUACUACUAUAUUUUUCCAAUAGAGUUUAACGCACUUAACGUAUUCACGUGAAUUUAUGCUCCUCUUUUAAAUUAUAUAUAACAGUGUUAUAUUUUUUAAAAAGUAUUUAAGCAUAGAUGUGUGAACUCACACUUGAAGUAUCAAAUAACGUCGUGUUAUAAUGAUUGGAUGCACUUCUCUAAUCAAAGUUAAAAAAAUUUGAAUCUUUUAUUUGACAAAAUAAAGUUAAACUGGAUGAAUUUAUAUCUUAAAUUUUCUUUUUCGUAGUACACCUAUCAUCUCAAAAUUCUGAAUAUGCCUCUGCUAGUAUAAUUUCAAAAAUUAUUGCAUAUAAGUGAAUCUACUAGAUGCGUACUCAAAGUAUAGCAAUCGAGUUUUCCAUUGGUUAAACACAAGAAGAAGAAAAAAGGAAGAAGCCAAGUUGUUUCAUGGAACAUACUUCGCGAAUUAUCAACUUUCCAUAGUAUAAAAUAGUAUUAAACAUAGUAAUAUUUCUAUUAGUUCUUUUUUUUAUUUAAUAUUUCUACUAGUUACAUUAGCACCGAUUAUAAAUAAUUAUUGUAAAUCACACUAGAUACACACUAUAUAUAUAUAUGGUGUGAUUUGAACGAAUUUGGGAAAUCAGACGAUACACAAGCGAAAUAUUAAAGUGAAGAGGGAUAUGAGAGAGAGGCGAAAGAGAUAUGCGCAUGGUGAGCAAGAUAAGAGGAAGACAGACUAGAUUUAUCUAUUAUACUAAAUACACGUGAUUCACACUAAUAUGUCUAAACAUUUGUACACAAUGAUUAGAGAGUAAUUCGAGUACAACUAUUUUCUCCAUUUCUCUCCAAUAUGGGCCUUUCCCAAAACGGCUAUGUUAUAUGCCUAGAGCUCUAUUGCCAACGACUUAAGCCGGCUUGCCAAGUCCUUAAUGUUGGUUAGUAAACCAAUCUUGGGCUACCUUCGUAUCGUUCAACAAAAUUUGAUGGGCUCCAAAUUUUACUGUGAAAAUUGGCGCAUAUUUGUCUGCCAUGAGCCCAAGUGUUUUGUGAGGCAGAUUAGAUCCAGUGAAAAGAUGAAGAUGGCCGAUAACAAGGAAAAACUACUUAACUACACAUAAAUUACUAUCAUAUAUACAAUUUUAUCUCUAGUUUCAAACAAUUACUUAUGUUAUUACUUUUUAUAUUUUAUAUCAUAUAUUUUAAAAGAUACAAUCAGAUAAACAAUUUUUUUUUAAAAAAUGAAUUGAUUAAUUAUCUUUGUAUUUAAACACCUAAAUAAUGGUGAAUUGACAUAGAAAAAUUCUCUCUCAUCAAUCAUAUCUCUCUUCCAAAUAAAAUUCUUAUUAUUCAUCCGUAUUGCAUCUGUCAUCCCACCCUCAUAUACAUCCGCCAAUAUUUUUUCUUUCUCUGAAAUUACAUUUAAAUAGCAAAUCAAAAUUGUUGAAUGCCUUGAAUUGGGCCCUUAAUUUUCUAUUGAUUCUGUAUGUUGGGCCCAAGCCUGUUAGGGCGUAGCUUAGCACUAUAUAUAGACGCUAUGGGAAACCCUAUUCUGUAAUUCUGUUCUUGCCUCUCCAUAAUAAAACUGUCCCCCUCUUUCCGUGGACGUAGCCAAUUUAUUGGUGAACCACGUAAACUGUUGUCUUGUUUUUCGCGUUUAUAUUUUCUCGUAUUAUCUCAAAUUCCGCACAACAAAUUGGUAUAAGAGCCUCUCGGUUAAUCGGUGUUCUUGGAGAAUUCGAGAUGUCUGCUUUGAACGUGAAAAUCGACAAAUUCACAGGGAGGAACAGUUUCAGUUUAUGGCAGAUCAAGAUGCGGGCUUUGUUGAAACAGCAAGGCUUCUGGGCGCCGUUGUCGAAAGACAAGAACGCCGUCGUUACUCCUGAGAUGGCGAUUCUGGAGGAAAAGGCGCACUCGACGAUCAUGCUGUGUCUCGCGGAUGACGUCAUCACGGAGGUCUCGGAUGAAGAGACUGCUGCUGGUCUGUGGUUGAAGCUGGAGAGUUUGUACAUGACAAAAUCUCUAACCAACAAGCUGCUUCUGAAACAACGUCUAUUCGAUUUACGAAUGGCUGAAGGUACACAACUCAGGGAACACUUAGAGCAAUUGAAUACUUUGUUAUUAGAAUUGCGUAAUAUCGAUGUGAAGAUCGAGGAUGAAGAUGCUGCCCUGAUUCUGUUAGUAUCUCUCCCAAUGUCGUUUGAGAAUUUUAUUCAAUCGUUCAUUGUUGGGAAAGAUACUGUGUCACUGGAAGAAGUCAGAUCGGCCCUUCAUAGCAGGGAAUUACGGCAUAAGGCUAACGGCACAAGUACGGACAUACAGCCUUCCGGUCUGUUCACCAGUAGCGGAAAGGGAAGGAAAAACGGCGGAAAGAAAAAUAAGCCGAUGUCGAAGGGUGCAAAGCCGGAUGAUGUUUGUAAUUACUGCAAGGAGAAGGGACAUUGGAAAUUUGAUUGUCCGAAGAAGAAGAAGCAAUCGGAAAAACAAUCAGUGUCUGCUGCUGUUGCUGAAGAAGACACCAAUUCUGAAGAAGAUAUUGCCCUAGUUGCGGAUGAGCACACUCAUCAUUCAGAUGUGUGGGUUCUCGAUUCUGGGGCAUCCUAUCACAUCUGUCCUAGGAGAGAGUGGUUCACGACUUAUGAGCAGGUAGACGGAGGCAGCAUCUCGAUGGCCAACAGUUCUGUCUGCAAGGUGGUUGGGACAGGCUCGAUCAAGAUAAGGACACAUGACGGUAGCUUCUGCACAUUGAACGAGGUCAGGCACGUUCCAUUGAUGAUGAAAAAUCUGAUAUCUCUCAGUCUUUUGGACAGCAAGGGAUUCAGCUGGUCGGGAAAAGAUGGAGUCUUGCGGGUCUGGAAGGGUUCAAAUUUGAUUCUGAAAGGUGUCAUGCGUGGUACUUUGUAUUUUCUACAAGGUUCCACGGUUACAGGUUCAGCCCAUGUUGCAUCGUCAGAAUUUCACCAGAAGGAUAUGACUAAGUUAUGGCACAUGAGACUUGGUCAUAUGGGUGAAAGAGGGAUGCAAAUUCUGUCAAAGGAGGAUUUACUUGCUGGUCAUAAGGUUAAGAGCCUAGAGUUUUGUGAACAUUGUGUUUUUGGAAAACUACAUCGCAACAAGUUUCCAAAGGCCAUUUAUAGAACAAAAGGCACACUUGAUUAUAUUCAUUCUGAUUGCUGGGGUCCAUGCCGUGUUGAGUCUUUGGGAGGUUGCAGAUUUUUUGUGUCCAUUAUUGAUGACUACUCAAGGAUGACUUGGGUGUACAUGAUGAAGCAUAAAAGUCAAGCCUUCCAGAAGUUCAAGGAGUGGAAAAUUUUGAUGGAAAAUCAAACAGGGAAGAAGAUCAAGAGGUUGCGAACUGAUAAUGGGCUGGAAUUCUGUUGGUCUGAAUUUGAUCAAUUCUGUAAGGAUGAAGGGAUUGCUCGACAUCGUACAGUCAGAAAUACACCACAGCAGAACGGUGUAGCUGAGCGGAUGAAUCAAACACUUCUGGAGAGAGCAAGGUGCAUGUUCUCUAAUGCUGGGCUAGAUAGAAGAUUCUGGGCAGAAGCGGUUAGUACAGCUUGCUACUUGAUUAACCGCGGACCACAUACAGGCAUACAGUGCAAGACACCUAUGGAGAUGUGGUCAGGAAAAGCUGCUGAUUAUUCAAAUCUGAAAGCUUUUGGUUGUACGGCUUACUAUCACGUCAGUGAAGGUAAGUUAGAACCAAGAGCUAAAAAGGGAGUAUUUGUGGGCUACGGAGAUGGAGUGAAAGGUUUCAGAAUCUGGUCUCCAGCAGAAAAGAGGGUUAUUAUGAGCAGGAACGUUGUCUUUGAUGAAAGUUCUCUGCUUAGAACCAUUGUGAAGCCUACAACUACGUCAGAAACUGGGAGUCUUGACAAACAGGUGGAGUUUCAAGUCAUUCAGAACGAGAGAGAUUUAAAGGAACCUGAAGAGGAGGAUCAAGAGCCACAGACAAAAACUGAUAUUCCAGAAUCUAUGCCAUCAGAUAUCCAUCAGAGUAUAGCUCAAGAUCGGCCAAGGAGGGUUGGAGUUCGGCCACCUACGAGGUAUGGUUUUGAGGACAUGGUGGGUUAUGCACUGCAGGUUGCUGAAGAGGUAGAUACAUCUGAGCCGUCUACUUACAAAGAAGCCAUUUUAAGUUCUGAUUCUGAAAAAUGGUUUGCCGCUAUGGGAGAUGAGAUGGAGUCCCUACACAAGAAUCAGACAUGGGAUCUGGUCAUACAGCCUUUGGGGAGAAAGAUUAUUACUUGCAAAUGGGUUUUCAAGAAGAAGGAAGGGAUAUCACCAGCAGAAGGAGUCAAGUAUAAAGCCAGGGUUGUUGCCAGAGGUUUCAACCAAAGAGAGGGAGUGGACUACAAUGAGAUCUUCUCACCAGUGGUCAGACAUACUUCCAUCCGAGUGUUACUAGCGAUAGUUGCACAUCAGAAUCUGGAGCUUGAACAACUUGAUGUGAAGACAGCGUUUCUACAUGGAGAGUUGGAGGAAGAGAUAUACAUGACUCAGCCGGAUGGUUUCCAAGUUCCAGGGAAGGAAAAUCACGUCUGCAAGUUGAAGAAGUCCUUAUAUGGACUUAAGCAGUCUCCAAGGCAGUGGUAUAAAAGGUUUGACAGCUAUAUGGUGAAGUUGGGCUAUACUCGGAGCUCAUAUGAUUGUUGUGUCUACUACAAUAGGCUCAAUGAUGAUUCAUUCAUCUAUCUGGUGCUUUAUGUAGAUGAUAUGUUGAUAGCUGCAAAGAAGAAGUAUGACAUUCAGAAGCUGAAGGGUUUACUUAGUGCUGAGUUUGAGAUGAAGGAUCUGGGAGCCGCUCGGAAGAUUUUAGGGAUGGAGAUCAUUAGAGACAGAGAGAGAAGGAAACUUUUCUUGUCACAGAGAAGCUACAUUCAGAAGGUCUUGGCGAGGUUUGAUAUGUCUUCAUCUAAGCCCAUUGAUACCCCCAGUGCUGCCAAUAUCCAUCUCACUGCCAUGUUCGCUCCACAGUCAGAAGAAGAGAAGGAGUAUAUGUCACGAGUCCCUUAUGCCAGUGCCGUAGGAAGUUUGAUGUAUGCUAUGGUCUGUACAAGGCCAGAUUUAGCACAUGCAGUCAGUGUAGUGAGCAGAUUCAUGGGACAACCAGGGAGAGAACAUUGGCAGGCUGUGAAGAGAAUUUUCCGGUACCUUAGAGGUACAUCUGACGUUGGUCUCAUUUAUGGAGGUAAUACUCAGUGCUUGGUUACUGGCUAUUCUGAUUCAGACUAUGCUGGAGAUGUUGACACAAGAAGAUCGAUGACUGGCUAUGUGUUUACCCUUGGAGGAUCUGUCGUCAGUUGGAAGGCAACUUUGCAACCUACAGUGACUUUGUCUACUACGGAAGCGGAGUACAUGGCCUUGACAGAGGCUGCAAAAGAAGGGAUUUGGUUGAAAGGGCUGGUUAGCGAUCUUGGUCUGCAUCAUGAUCAGGCUACGGUGUAUUGUGACAGUUUGAGCGCAAUUUGUCUAGCCAAGGAUCAAGUCCAUCAUGAGAGAACCAAGCAUAUUGACGUAAGGUAUCAUUUUCUGAGAAGUGAGAAGAGAAUCAAGGUGAAGAAAGUAGGAACUGCUGAUAAUCCUGCUGAUAUGUUUACAAAGCCGGUUCCACAGAGCAAGUUUCAACACUGUUUGGACUUGCUCAACAUCAGAAGCUGUUAAUUGCCCUGCGGGGCAACUCUGAGGAAGAUGGGGAGGCCUGACACUAUCAUAGUGCGUCUGAAGAAUCUGUUCGGAGAAUUCAAGUCAAGGUGGAGAUUUGUUGAAUGCCUUGAAUUGGGCCCUUAAUUUUCUAUUGAUUCUGUAUGUUGGGCCCAAGCCUGUUAGGGCGUAGCUUAGCACUAUAUAUAGACGCUAUGGGAAACCCUAUUCUGUAAUUCUAUUCUUGCCUCUCCAUAAUAAAACUGUCCCCCUCUUCCCGUGGACGUAGCCAAUUUAUUGGUGAACCACGUAAACUGUUGUCUUGUUUUUCGCAUUUAUAUUUUCUCGUAUUAUCUCAAAUUCCGCACAACAAAAAUUGUAUAUAGAAAUUUGUAACUUUGUUUCAUUAUUCUCAUGUAUCUAGAAUAAAGUUCUCCCUUUUCACAUAUAUAUGUGUAGAGUUCAUAUCAUUUUAAAUUUUAAUUUUAAAUCUUUUUACGAAUUAAGUCCUACAUAGUAUGAUCUUGGUACUAUUUAUUAUUUCAUGGGUGAUCAUUCCCAAAAUUGAAUGAUCCCAGUAAAUGUACAAUACAUUAACAUUAAUAUAUAAUAUGUUUAUGAUAUAUGAACUUUUUAGUUUUGUUUUCUCUCAAUAUUUUUUCAUUGCAGGGUUAAAUCUCUAUCCGUUAACAUUCAAGCUAAGAAUAGAUCCUAGCACUAAAAUGACCCAAUAUAAAUGGAAGAACUAUGUGAACUCUGAAGCUCUACUUACCCAAAUAGAUACAACACUAAACCUAGUUACACAUCUAGUGCAAGAUGUUCUUUCUAACACAUCUUCUUAAGGAAACAAACCCAGAAAUUUAAAAAAGCAUGUAUCUUGAUUUUUUUUACUCGUAAGAUACACGUAUCUCAAUUUUUUAACUCUCGAAUACAUGGCAACUGGAAAAAAAAAAGACAUCCGUGGCUCAAGGAAAUUAGAGGGGGAAUACUUAAUUAGAUGACUGAUUAAUUAUGAUCAACAUUAUGUGAAUGUAUAUGAUGGAAAUAUAGCUAAAUUCCUUAAUCACUUUUUGUGAAAUAAUAUUUAUUUUGAUAAAGAGAAUAUGAAUAGUAAUUUUUCUAACUUCUACCCUUAUUUAGAAGGGACGGUUUAGAGGACUAACACUGCAUAAGAAAAUUGUACCAAAAGCAAAGUAAAUUGUACUACUUUUGCUCUGUCUGGCCCAUAUUUAUUGGCAAUAGUUGCUUUACAUCCACGUGUAAGAAAUUGGAAUCACCUCUGCUUUUGAAAUAAAUAAAUUGUCUCUCUUUGCAAACUAUAAACAUCUCUAUCACUUUCUCUUUUUAUCUUGAAAUGGGUGAGUUCUUUUUGUCCCAUGUAUUAUAUGUGAUAAUUGUAAAAUGUCUAUUUUUAUCCUUCAAUUCCUAAUUUAUUUCCAGUUCUUUUUGGUAUUUAUUGGAUAUUAUGAUUUUUAAUGCAUUGUUGUAAGAUAUUAUUCUUGCAUGUUACUAAUUCGGUUUGAUUUAAUCAGGGUUGUUCGAAAAUUGAUUUCUCCAUUUUUUUACUAGAUGGUGUGAUGUAGUACUGUAGCGCAUCUAGAGCUUUUUUGUGGGUUUUUGUUCUUUUAGAACUUGUCAAUUUUUUUUUCUAUUUGUGCAAGUUUGAGCUCCCUAUUUUGAAAGUUAAAUUUUUAUUUUGAAUUUUGAAUUUGACUUGAGAGUUGUAUUGUGAAUGGCUUAGGAAAAUAACAAAGAUAGCCUAUAUGUAGAGCAAUGAAACUCGAACGUGAAUUUGGGGAAACAACAAACGUCUAUUUCCAUCUUAAGAGUAGUUCCAUUUUUUUAAAAAAAAAUGAGAAAAAAUCAUGUGAAUGUAGAGUAACGCAUGUUUUUCUUUCCUCCUUUGAAUUGCUUCCCUUUCAUAUCAAUCUGCUAAUAUUGAUCCAUUUGACAACUAAUUUUAAUGUUUUCUUAUUUUUCUAGCAUAUGGAAAGAUGCAAGCACAAGGUGGAUAAGCUGAUAGGAAAAAACAUGUUCUCGGGAUCACUAGAACCCUUUGGGAUGCUUCAACCAAUAAUGAAAGCAUAUAGUUUUUCUCCACCGUAUUACAGUAACAAAAUUUUUUUUCAUAAGUUCCUUUUGGCUCAUUUGGUGUCGAAUGCACAAGCAGAGCAGAGAAGAACAAGGUAAACGUAAUGGUAGCACAAUGUAAUUAUAGAAAACUUCAGUAUUUAGGAUAGAAAGUCGACUGGUCCGUUAAAAGUUUUCUUAUUUUGCAUAAAUUACUUUAAGUGUUCUCAAUAGAGUUAUAGCGUGACAUGUGGAUGGAUUUUCCUAAAUUGUUAUUGCAUUCGUAUAUAAUUUUAUGCACUACUUUUGAAGUAUCCGACACGAAGAGUCCAAGCAACAUAGCAAGUAGAAAAAAGUGUCCCCGCAAAUGCAGCAAUAAGAAGAAAGGUCUUUGGUUAUCCAGGAGGUGACACUGUUGUUGUGAUAAACCCUGUUGUCGAAAUCAAAAUUCUUCGGAAGAGCCGAUUAAACACUCUUGAGCAAAAGAAAAGCAAAUACGACUGAAGAUUUUUACUUCCCUCUCUUUUACCAAUAAUGAAAGAUAUGAAUGCAUUCCCUUGCCUAGAUGAAAGGUAUAUCAAGUAAUAUCAUUAUAUAUAGUUAGAUUGAUGAUCUAUUAUCAGGUUGUUUAUGGAUGUUCAUGCAAAUCGAACAAUCUUCUUCUUGAUGUUGUGAUCCUGUGCAUUACAGUUUAGAUUACAUUUCAAUAUUGACAUUUUAAACUUGAAGUAUAGUUUAUACAGAACAACUCACAAUAACUCUAACUUAAAUAGCUUGAUUUCUGAAAAUACCAUAUUAACAAAAAUGACAAGCUUUAUUAAUAUUAAAAUGGAUGAAAGCUAAAAAAAUAAUUCAGACACACAUAUAGGUCAACUGGUGAUAUAUUAUUCCAUAUUUGCUUUUGUACUUUUUCACUAUAGUAAAUAUUUUUAUGAUGAUCGACAUGUCAACUUUUUGUCUACUUUGUAUUAAAUUGUUCAGGUUGUACAUUAGCUUGGAUAGUAGUAAAUUUAUCAUUUUUUAAUACAAUUAUCUACAACUCAUUUUAUUUGUACUUAAAUAGAUAGUAGUAACCAAUGAACUCAUAACGCUUAUCUUAAGAUUCCAUAUUCAGACCAUAAAAACUACAUAUCUAUUUUAUCACUCAUUGGUGGAAAGUCUAAAUCUAUAACUAUAUGAUAUUUCAUUCCAGGCAUUUUUGAUAAAAGCAAGCUGAGAAUAGAGUCAUAUUUGGUGAACAUUUCUUCAGCUGGACACUUAAAUCGGGGAUCGACUCUAAAACCUUUCCUGGGUACAUGUAUAGGGUGUCAAAGUUGAACUAGGAAGCAUCCGUACUAGCAUGUGACAUCUUCGACUUUACCCGUCUUUGGAGUCUAUUUGUAAGUCCAAAUUUAUGGAUGUUCAGAAAGAACUUGAUUGAUAAUAUCGUUUUUUCAGUUCAUAGCGUUGGUUUGAUAUUUGAGAUCUGUUUAUGUUGUAAAUGUGCAAAGUCUAAUCUUUUGAUUGUAAAAAAAAGGAUUAUAAUCUUAGGCUAUGAAAUUUAUACAUCACUUCCCUUGCGGUUAGUAUUUAUUUUUUAAUGCUCAAAUGUCCUCUUUAUUCAUGUUUUCUUUGUGAAUUCUAGCCUCAGGAGUAUCUAUCGGAUAAAAAUAGCAGUAACAACAAGUAAAGAGGAUUGAAGCAACAAUGUCUUUGACGAAAUUUUCCAGUGAAAGAAAGAUCACCAACAAGUUUGUUUAACUCUUUUUCUACAACUAUCUACUAUCAAGCUCAUCGCUUAGCAUGGACGUUAAUCAUCGAUAUUUCUUUUGUCAUGCUAUUCUCUACAUUAUGCUUCAUAUACAAAAGACAUAUGUCUUGAAUCGAAAAUGAACACUCAUUUAGUUGAAUUAAGAUACUGAAUGUUGUCACAAUUGUUUACUUGGUGUUUAAAUGAACUUUAUUUGAAGUAUCAUACCAUUAUUCAAUGGUAUUGAAAAAUUGAGGAUAAGUAUAACGUUUUAAUUAAAUUUUAGUUAAAAUUGUGAGUUUGAGUUGUAAUUUAUCCUAUCUGAAACUGCUUACUCUAGCAAUAUGUUGGUAUCUCAUAUUGAGAAGUACAUUGUUGCUAUUCCUGGCCCAGUUCACUAUAUUUUUAUGAAAUUCUUUGAUCUCUACAGGUUUAUUUGUUUUUUGCUAUGAAUAACUUUGGAUAUAUUGGUGCUACUCCUAGCCUGAUUCACUAUAUCUCUAAUUUUCUAUUGAAUAGUGAAAAUGUAGGUUUUGAAGUGAUUUACUAAUACAUUAUAUGUGUACAUUUUGAUUUUUUUUAGAAGAAAUCACAAUGGACAUUCUUUUGUUUGACCAACAUCUAAGAUUAUCAGUUUCAUGUGUUAUUAUAAACUGUCAAAUAUUUAAUCUAUUCAGUAGGUAACUUUCUGAUUUAGUCUGCUUAGUUCAAGUUUUAUGAAUUUGAUGAAAAAACAUUUGGAAUGAUUAGCAAUUAGUACUUUUCGAUCCUUGCUCACUUUAACCAUUAUAUAUCGUUAGUGAGGUAAGUAAUCGAAAAAACAAUCGAAUUCUAGAAACAGAACAGAUUAGAUCAUGGAAAAGGAUUGAUUAUAAAUUCUCUUAUUAUCAUUUCUUCAGGUAUAAUUUUACAUGGCUAAAGAUGAAAAUUGACCUUGAUAGGCUUUAAUAGAAACUUGUGUUGACUACUUCUGGCCUGUGGAAAGCAGAUAUGUACAAGAGUUGAAAAGUUAAUGUUUUUUUAAAUGAUAUGUUGUAAAUGCGGAAUGUUUCCAAUUACUUUUUUGUUGAUCAGGCGACAUCCGAAUUUGAACUGGGAAAAAAAGGAUUUGCAAUCCUCUUAGAGUCUUUUACCAUGUCUGCUCUUUACUUGAUCAUCUCUUUCAUUGAUACAUCGAGAUUACUUGAAUAAAUUAUUUCUGUAGUUUAUACUGCUAAAUUUAAAAUUUAUGGAGAUCGAACUUGCAAUGUUGGGCCUGUGCUCAGCACGGGCCAUGCCUCUCUAGUUAAAAAAAUAAAGGAUAGAAUUUAAAAUAAAGAGAUAUUAAAGUAUUCAUUUUCUAUUUUGUUUCUAAACGUAGAAAAUGAAAAAUAAAAUAAAGUUGAGUCGGGGAUGACCUUACCCUCUCUACGUCCACAUGCAACGCUAUCACCAUUUGCAAUGCAACUUGUCGUUUGUCUAAUGGAUAUUAUUAUUAUUUCCUUAUUAAGAGUUGUGCACAACUCUCCCAAAAAUAGGAGAGGAUUCGUAUAUCUUUUACACUUUGAAGUUAUGUCAAAAUGUCGAUGCUUUCGUAGAAUUUAAUACAAAAUUCAUGUGUUUGAGUCUUGAUGAAAAUUAAAAAUAAGAAUAUUUUAUAUCAUUCGUUUUAAUUUUAAGGGAAAAUGUCCAAGUACCUCCUCAACCUAUACCCGAAAUUCCAGAGACAUACUUAUACUAUACUAAGGUCCUAUUACCCCUGAACUUAUUUUAUAUGUAAUAUUAUACCCUUUUUAGCCUACGUGGCACUAGUUCAAAAAAAAAGUCAACCAUCGUUGGGCCCACAAGAUAGUGCCACGUAAGCUAAAAAGGGUAAAAAAUUAUUAAUAAAAUAAGUUCAAGAGUAAUAAGACCUUAGUAUAGUAUAAGUGUGUCUCUGAUAUUUCGGGCAUAGGUUAAGAGGUACUUGGGCAUUAUCCCAAUUUUAAUGAAAAUAAAAACAAAUAAGAUAAAGAGUAUUUUAUAUGGAUGAGAAGAGCUCUCUAUAAGUUCCGAGUGUUUUCACUUAACCACGGUAGAGAAGAUGACUGACUGACAUAUUUUAUUACCCAUGGAUUUAUUUCUAAUUGUUGUUACAUUAGCUACCUCCUUUAUUCUACUUUUCAUUCUUCAUAAACAAUUUUACUCAGUUAAAAAGCAGAGUAGUAGUAGUAGAAAGGUACCUGAAGCUGGCGGAGCAUGGCCUAUUAUCGGCCAUCUCCACCUUCUCGGUGGAUCUGAAUCUGAUCACUUGCCUCACAAAAUGUUGGGCCGCUUGGCAGAUAAGUACGGGCCUAUUUUCGGAAUGAAGCUUGGAGUUCA
RNAcentral lists this long non-coding RNA (14237 nucleotides) under Solanum lycopersicum (tomato). RNAcentral's name for it is "long non-coding RNA (SLYC_LNC000115)". Lineage: Eukaryota; Viridiplantae; Streptophyta; Magnoliopsida; Solanales; Solanaceae. The record is from RNAcentral.